This 429-nucleotide ribosomal RNA is filed under the name Gemmatimonadota bacterium. RNAcentral's name for it is "Gemmatimonadetes bacterium partial 16S ribosomal RNA". It matches the Rfam family "Bacterial small subunit ribosomal RNA", at positions 355 to 776 of the family's 1533-position model. The record is from RNAcentral. Lineage: Bacteria; Pseudomonadati; Gemmatimonadota.
UAGGGAAUCUUCGGCAAUGGACGAAAGUCUGACCGAGCAACGCCGCGUGAGUGAAGAAGGUUUUCGGAUCGUAAAACUCUGUUGUUAGAGAAGAACAAGGACGUUAGUAACUGAACGUCCCCUGACGGUAUCUAACCAGAAAGCCACGGCUAACUACGUGCCAGCAGCCGCGGUAAUACGUAGGUGGCAAGCGUUGUCCGGAUUUAUUGGGCGUAAAGCGAGCGCAGGCGGUUUCUUAAGUCUGAUGUGAAAGCCCCCGGCUCAACCGGGGAGGGUCAUUGGAAACUGGGAGACUUGAGUGCAGAAGAGGAGAGUGGAAUUCCAUGUGUAGCGGUGAAAUGUGUAGAUAUAUGGAGGAACACCAGUGGCGAAGGCGGCUCUCUGGUCUGUAACUGACGCUGAGGCUCGAAAGCGUGGGGAGCAAACAGG